GAUGAACGCUAGCGAUAGGCCUAACACAUGCAAGUCGAGGGGCAUCACAUGAAGUAGCAAUACGGAUGGUGGCGACCGGCGCACGGGUGAGUAACACGUAUGCAACCUGCCUUCAACAAGGGGAUAACCCGUUGAAAAACGGACUAAUACCCUAUAAUACAGGGGUCCCGCAUGGGGAUAUUUGUUAAAGAUUGAUCGGUUGAAGAUGGGCAUGCGUUCCAUUAGCUGGUUGGUGAGGUAACGGCUCACCAAGGCAACGAUGGAUAGGGGAACUGAGAGGUUUAUCCCCCACACUGGUACUGAGACACGGACCAGACUCCUACGGGAGGCAGCAGUGAGGAAUAUUGGUCAAUGGACGCAAGUCUGAACCAGCCACGUCGCGUGAAGGAAGACGGCCCUACGGGUUGUAAACUUCUUUUGUAAGGGAAUAAAGUGUAGUACGCGUACUAUUUUGCAUGUACCUUACGAAUAAGGAUCGGCUAACUCCGUGCCAGCAGCCGCGGUAAUUA
Molecule: ribosomal RNA, 509 nt
Filed under: uncultured bacterium
Lineage: Bacteria
Description: bacterial SSU rRNA
Rfam family: Bacterial small subunit ribosomal RNA
Source: RNAcentral